This 253-nucleotide ribosomal RNA is filed under the name uncultured bacterium. RNAcentral describes it as "partial 16S ribosomal RNA". It matches the Rfam family "Bacterial small subunit ribosomal RNA", at positions 524 to 776 of the family's 1533-position model. The record is from RNAcentral.
GACAGAGGGUGCGAACGUUGCUCGGAAUCACUGGGCGUAAAGCGCGUGUAGGCGGACGAUCAAGUCAGGUGUGAAAUCCCUGGGCUCAACCCAGGAACUGCAUCUGAAACUGGUUGCCUUGAGUGUUGGAGAGGGAAGCGGAAUUCCUGGUGUAGAGGUGAAAUUCGUAGAUAUCAGGAAGAACACCGGUGGCGAAGGCGGCUCUCUGGGCCUUACCUGACGCUGAGGAGCGAAAGCGUGGGUAGCGAACAGG